This 253-nucleotide ribosomal RNA is filed under the name uncultured bacterium. RNAcentral describes it as "partial 16S ribosomal RNA". It matches the Rfam family "Bacterial small subunit ribosomal RNA", at positions 524 to 776 of the family's 1533-position model. The record is from RNAcentral.
UACGUAGGGGGCAAGCGUUGUCCGGAUUUAUUGGGCGUAAAGAGCGUGUAGGCGGCCAGGUAGGUCGGCUGUGAAAACUCGAGGCUCAACCUCGAGAUGUCGGCCGAAACCAUCUGGCUAGAGUCCGGAAGAGGAGAGUGGAAUUCCCGGUGUAGCGGUGAAAUGCGCAGAUAUCGGGAAGAACACCCGUGGCGAAGGCGGCUCUCUGGGACGGUACUGACGCUGAGACGCGAAAGCGUGGGGAGCAAACAGG